CCUACGGGGGGCUGCAGUGGGGAAUAUUGGACAAUGGGCGAAAGCCUGAUCCAGCCAUGCCGCGUGUGUGAAGAAGGCCUUCGGGUUGUAAAGCACUUUCAGUGGGGAAGAAAGCCUUGGGGCUAAUACCCUCGAGGAAGGACAUCACCCACAGAAGAAGCACCGGCUAACUCCGUGCCAGCAGCCGCGGUAAUACGGAGGGUGCGAGCGUUAAUCGGAAUUACUGGGCGUAAAGCGCGCGUAGGGGGUCUGAUAAGCCGGUUGUGAAAGCCCCGGGCUCAACCUGGGAACGGCAUCCGGAACGGUCAGGCUAGAGUGCAGGAGAGGAAGGUAGAAUUCCCGGUGUAGCGGUGAAAUGCGUAGAGAUCGGGAGGAAUACCAGUGGCGAAGGCGGCCUUCUGGACUGACACUGACGCUGAGGUGCGAAAGCGUGGGUAGCAAACAGGAUUAGAUACCCGAGUAGUC
Molecule: ribosomal RNA, 465 nt
Filed under: Vreelandella stevensii
Lineage: Bacteria; Pseudomonadati; Pseudomonadota; Gammaproteobacteria; Oceanospirillales; Halomonadaceae
Description: partial 16S ribosomal RNA
Rfam family: Bacterial small subunit ribosomal RNA
Source: RNAcentral